Molecule: unclassified non-coding RNA, 262 nt
Filed under: Hevea brasiliensis (rubber tree)
Lineage: Eukaryota; Viridiplantae; Streptophyta; Magnoliopsida; Malpighiales; Euphorbiaceae
Source: RNAcentral
GUAAAUUGGUGGGUUGUUGAUGUUUGAUUGAAUGGUAUUGGUCUUGUGGUUAUUAAUGGAUGAUUAAUCUCUUAAUAUGACAUUUUGAUUAGAUUUCCACUUUGCUUACCAAACUGUAUAACCACUUAUUCAACAAGGAGGAAAAAUAUGUACAUGAAAAUUGGAACUUUUCAAUGCAGCCAAUGAACUUUUCCUCCACUCUCUUUUGCUUCUAACAGAGACUCCCUCUCUCCCUCCUCCAAAGCAGUGCUCUGUAUUUCCA